CUGAUUUGUUUUCAUGGAUCCUGUGCCUCUGGCAGAACAGAGAGGAGAAUCUGCCUUUUACUUGUACCGCCAGCUUCUCCCAGGAUAGGGCUUAUGUUCUGAUAGCUUCGGUAAAUAACUGUUGUCUACAUGACUGACUAAGCUUAUGCACAUGAUCUGAAGUUUGUUCCUGAUUUAUCUUGUUUUGUGUUCCUAGGAAGGGGCGACUAAGCCCGAAAUUACAAAACCGGAGUAUGCUACUGGGACUGUAGAAGUGGCUCCGCAGGAGCUGAAGGAUCAUAAAACACUGAGCUCUGUUGGUGGAGCACACGGAGCUUAUUAUACACUACCCGACGUGGGACCUGGCGCAGCUCCGGUGUGGCCCGGCAGCACCCGCCCACCUGCGGCGGCCUCGGAGGCCCAGAUGGUGUGUCAGUGUGCCACUUUACAGAAGAGAGAGGAAGAGAAUCUUCCUGGGAUGAGGUACAGUCUCUUGUUGUUAAUGUACUUGUAUGACUAUAUAAGUACCAGGGGAUUCUGAGACAUAAACCGGGGGUUGGUGUGAGUGUGCAUUUUCACGUUUGCAUCUGCUGAUGAGAAUUUUUGACUUAUGCUUUUAACUUACAGUUUAGGAUGUGAUUCUGUGCUUAAUGCCGUAGGACUGGAUAAUGCACUUGUGUUCAUUUUCCAGACUCACUUAGUGAAACCAGUGUCUGUGUGGGCAUUCUUUUUUUCAGGGUCUUUCCCUUACAGUUUAUUAGAGGAUAUUGAAAAGAAAAUCAUCCCUGGGAAAGUUAGGUGUAUCUUGGGGUUGGUUUUUGAUUUAGCUGUCCUCAAUUGAAAUUAAUUAAGUGAUGUUUCAUUUUCAAGGCAGCAUGUUUUGUCUUCCCAUUCCACCACAAGUAACAGUGGUCUAGUUCCCUUAAUGCCUUACGCUGUUUCCCACCUGCUCCUUUUACUCAGGCUGCCCUUCCCCAAAGCCCCUCCA
Camelus dromedarius (Arabian camel) is the source of this 967-nucleotide long non-coding RNA. RefSeq lists it as uncharacterized. The transcript has 3 exons. The record is from RefSeq and is a predicted model, not a curated record. NCBI's taxonomy places the organism in Eukaryota, Metazoa, Chordata, Mammalia, Artiodactyla, Camelidae.